RNAcentral lists this ribosomal RNA (499 nucleotides) under Starmerella lactis-condensi. RNAcentral describes it as "eukaryotic LSU rRNA". It matches the Rfam family "Eukaryotic large subunit ribosomal RNA", at positions 36 to 552 of the family's 3401-position model. The record is from RNAcentral. Lineage: Eukaryota; Fungi; Ascomycota; Dipodascomycetes; Dipodascales; Trichomonascaceae.
UUGCAUAUCCCAAUAGCGGAGGAAAAGAAACCAACAGGGAUUGCUCUAGUAACGGCGAGUGAACAAGCAAAAGCUCAGUUUUGAAAGCCUACUUUGUAGGCAUUGUAUUCUGAAGCCUAGAUUCUGGGAAACGGUGUUUAAGUCUUCUGGAAAGGAGCGCCACGGAGGGUGAUAGCCCCGUACGGCACUGACCCCAUUGUAGUUUCUAGGCGUGGAGUCGAGUUGUUUGGGAAUGCAGCUCAAAUGGGAGGUAUGCUCCUUCUAAAGCUAAAUAUUUGCGAGAGACCGAUAGCGAACAAGUACUGUGAAGGAAAGAUGAAAAGAACUUUGAAAAGAGAGUGAAAUAGGACGUGAAAUUGUUGAAAUGGAAGGGUAGGCUGCUAACCAUGUAGGACCGUGUCUGAGGGGAAGAUAAAAGCUACGGAAUGUGACUCUUCGGAGUGUUAUAGCCGUGGUCAAUGUUCCCACUUAGGCGCGAGGAUCUCAGGUCUACUAAAUU